This 217-nucleotide long non-coding RNA is filed under the name Gallus gallus (chicken). The record is from RNAcentral. Lineage: Eukaryota; Metazoa; Chordata; Aves; Galliformes; Phasianidae.
AGAACCGGGCGCUGAGAGAGGAGCUGCACGCCUGCGGGCUGAGUGCCGCUGUGGGGGGCAGCAGGAGGGAGAUGGGCAGCCUGCCCUGCCCCACAGAAGGAUCGGACGCAUCGCCCGCAGCCCCAAUGGAUCAGGCAGACACCACCAUGACGGUGCGGCGCUACUCCACCGCGGCAUCGGCACCCUCAAGGCCUCGCCAUGCCGGCAAGCAGCCCCC